This 482-nucleotide ribosomal RNA is filed under the name Escherichia coli. RNAcentral describes it as "partial 23S ribosomal RNA". It matches the Rfam family "Bacterial large subunit ribosomal RNA", at positions 2410 to 2886 of the family's 2925-position model. Lineage: Bacteria; Pseudomonadati; Pseudomonadota; Gammaproteobacteria; Enterobacterales; Enterobacteriaceae. The record is from RNAcentral.
UCAUAGUGAUCCGGUGGUUCUGAAUGGAAGGGCCAUCGCUCAACGGAUAAAAGGUACUCCGGGGAUAACAGGCUGAUACCGCCCAAGAGUUCAUAUCGACGGCGGUGUUUGGCACCUCGAUGUCGGCUCAUCACAUCCUGGGGCUGAAGUAGGUCCCAAGGGUAUGGCUGUUCGCCAUUUAAAGUGGUACGCGAGCUGGGUUUAGAACGUCGUGAGACAGUUCGGUCCCUAUCUGCCGUGGGCGCUGGAGAACUGAGGGGGGCUGCUCCUAGUACGAGAGGACCGGAGUGGACGCAUCACUGGUGUUCGGGUUGUCAUGCCAAUGGCACUGCCCGGUAGCUAAAUGCGGAAGAGAUAAGUGCUGAAAGCAUCUAAGCACGAAACUUGCCCCGAGAUGAGUUCUCCCUGACUCCUUGAGAGUCCUGAAGGAACGUUGAAGACGACGACGUUGAUAGGCCGGGUGUGUAAGCGCAGCGAUGCGU